AUUGAACGCUGGCGGCAGGCCUAACACAUGCAAGUCGAGCGGAUGAAGGGAGCUUGCUCCUGGACUCAGCGGCGGACGGGUGAGUAAUGCCUAGGAAUCUGCCUGGCAGUGGGGGAUAACGUCCGGAAACGGGCGCUAAUACCGCAUACGUCCUGAGGGAGAAAGUGGGGGAUCUUCGGACCUCACGCUAUCAGAUGAGCCUAGGUCGGAUUAGCUAGUUGGUGGGGUAAAGGCCUACCAAGGCGACGAUCCGUAACUGGUCUGAGAGGAUGAUCAGUCACACUGGAACUGAGACACGGUCCAGACUCCUACGGGAGGCAGCAGUGGGGAAUAUUGGACAAUGGGCGAAAGCCUGAUCCAGCCAUGCCGCGUGUGUGAAGAAGGUCUUCGGAUUGUAAAGCACUUUAAGUUGGGAGGAAGGGCAGUAAGUUAAUACCUUGCUGUUUUGACGUUACCAACAGAAUAAGCACCGGCUAACUUCGUG
This 484-nucleotide ribosomal RNA is filed under the name uncultured bacterium. RNAcentral's name for it is "partial 16S ribosomal RNA". It matches the Rfam family "Bacterial small subunit ribosomal RNA", at positions 30 to 507 of the family's 1533-position model. The record is from RNAcentral.